RNAcentral lists this long non-coding RNA (2707 nucleotides) under Cricetulus griseus (Chinese hamster). RNAcentral describes it as "lncRNA (ENSCGRG00000025862.1)". Lineage: Eukaryota; Metazoa; Chordata; Mammalia; Rodentia; Cricetidae. The record is from RNAcentral.
ACAGACUGAAACUGGAUUCUCGAGUUCUCUGCAGGAUUAACUCACGUGCCCAGCAACGGCACUGGGAAACACAGUGGCUUCCUGCUCACCCGUCCUGUCCCCAAGCAGCCUCUCUAUAUGGCUAGGCUAGGACAAAAAAUGUGCCAGUUGAAAACAGCAUGGUGGUCUCAAGGUAGUCUAGCUGUUGUGUCGUCUCAGGGUUCUCUGAAGAAGGCACAUCCAAAGAGAGCCAAUGAGGCUGCAAGACUGCUUGCAACUUGGAAGCAGGUACGUCUGUGCACCAUAUGCAUGCAGCGCCCAAGAAGGCCGGAAGAAGGUGUCAGAUCCCUUGAGACUGGAGUGACCGAGGGUUGUGAGCUGCCCUGUGGGUGCUGGGAAUUGAACCCAAGCCCUCUGCAAGAGCAUCCAGGCCUCUUAACCACUGAGUAGUCUCUCUAACCCCUAGGGGUAUUAAAUUUUAAACAUCAUUAUUCUACAAAUAAAAUUCAUUCAUUUUUCCAAAUAAGCAUAUAAACUUAAGCAAAUAAAAAAAAUUUAAAAAAUGAAUCACUGUCGUCCUGGGCUGGAACAGUGAAGUUUCUGUUUACUUGACCGGGAGUCUGCAGACACAGCUGUUUAGUUUUCUCCCCGUUGGCUGGCAACUCAGCUCAGGAAAGCUCUCAGUGUUGCUCAAGUGGAGAGCGGGGGAGCCAGACCCCAGAUGUCACAGCAGACAUAGGGGCUCAGAUACUGAGUGGGUUGGAUAGAUAAAUGAUUUGAGCAGAUGCCACAUUGAAGUCAAGAAGGGGAGCAACUGCCGUCCUAUUUGCUAUGGUGAUUGACAGUCACAAUGGGGCAGCCUGCACUGAGACUCAUCCCACGGACACUGACGUCAAUGAUGAUAGCUAACCAGAUACGGAAUGUUACACUGUGUCCCCAAGUUUACAGAAUGAAGGUGGAACGUUCCACUCCACCACCAUUUCUCCUGAUCUUCAAGGGCCUGUGGCCUUGUUCCCAUCCCCUGAUAUCAAAAUGAGCAAGAAUGAACAGCAAUCCGGCCUCACUCAGUUCUGUGUGUCAAACAGCCCAAAUGUCCAGGCUUCCAUAGCUUAAAAUAACAAAAUAAAGUUAUAGUCCUUUCUAAUUAACAUUUUUAAAAGACUUAUUUACUUCCAUUUUAUGUUCAUGAAUGGUUUUCUUGCACCUAUAUGUACUACAUGCCUGAUGCCCAUAGAAGCCAGAACAGAGUGUGUCAGAUCCCGUGGAACUGAAGUUACAGAUGGUUGUGAGCCACUAUGUGGUUUCUGGGAAUUGAACCCAGGUCCUCUGGAAGAGCAGCCAGUGCUCCACACCUCUGAGCAUCUCUCCAGCCCACAGUUAGAAUUCUUUAGGAUGUAGAAGCUAUGAAACUUCAGUCCCACCUACGUUGUCCUGUGAGCUGUGGCAGGUGGUGGGGUGUCUACUCCUGCUACCCUUCCCAGUUCCCCCACUGUCCCCUCCUCCUGAUACCCUCACUUCCCCUCCCACCUGCUCCUCAGAGAGGGUAAGGCCUCCCAUAGGAAGUCUACUAAGUCUGUCCCAUCAUCUCAUUGAGGCAGGACCAAGGCACCUCUCCAUGCCCCACACCCCUGUGUCUAAGCUGAGCAAGGUAUCUCUCCAUAUAGCAUGGGCUCCACUAAGUCAGUUUGUGCAUUAGAGUUAGAUCUUGGACCCACUGCCAGUGGCCUCAUACAUUGUCCCAGUCACACCAUUGUCACCUAUAUUAAGGGAGUCUGGUUCAGUCUUAUGCAGGUUCCCCAUUUGUCAGACCUGAGUCAGUGAUCUCUCAGUAGCUCGGGUCAGCUGAUCCUGUGGGUUUCCCCAUCACGGUCUUGGCUCCUUUGUUCAUAUUAUCUCUCCUCACUCACGUCAAUUGUACUCCAGGAGCUUGGCCCAUUGGUUAGUUGUGGAUUUCUGCAUCUGCUUCCAUCUGUUUCUGGAAGAGGGUUCUAGCUUCUCUGGGGUUGUGGAUUGUAGGCUGGGUAGCUUUUGCUUUGUGUCUGGUAUCCCCUUAUGAGUGAGUACAUACUAUAUUUGUCUUUCUGGUUCUGGGUUACCUCACUCAGGAUGGUUUUUUCUAGUUCUGUCCAUUUGCCUCCAAAUUUUAGGAUGUCAUUGUUUUUUACCGCUGAGUAGUACUCCAUUGUGUAAAUGUACCACGUUUUCUUUAUCCAUUCUUCAGUUGAGGGGCAUCUAAGUUGUUUCUAGGAUCUGGCUAUUACAAAUGAUGUGUGUGAAAAAGGUCCACACAUUUGCCAGGCGUGACACUAUUCAUGAGUCUCCAUCUCUGUCCCAGAGCACAUGAGACAGCUGUCAAAUUUCUGAGCCUUUUUCUCCUUCCUCUGACUGACUAACAUAGAAGAUCUGUGUUGCCAUGGAGAGCCUGAAGUGUUCUGGAGAGAUUAGGAGCCUGGCUACAGAAAGACAAACUCCUUUCAUGGGGGAACCUGCAGAUCUGGUCUUGUGUCUAUCCAAGCAUACGGCUGGGUCACAUAGGCUUAUUUCCCAGGAACACUUGCUCCAGGCUUCCCCAGGUCUUUCUUGUUUGUUUAGCAGUAUAGCUCAAUGUUAUGUCUAGCUCCUGCCAGCCUGAGUCCUAGAUACAAGUCCUUCUUAAAGCAAAAGAGAAGCUAAAUAAGUUCCACUUAUUAAAUAAAGUCUGAUUGUCAUACCUCAGAUCUCUCUGUUG